Molecule: long non-coding RNA, 1082 nt
Organism: Frieseomelitta varia
Lineage: Eukaryota; Metazoa; Arthropoda; Insecta; Hymenoptera; Apidae
Exons: 6
Source: RefSeq, a predicted model, not a curated record
AACAAAAAGAACUGAUACUUCAUUGAACAAUUACAUAUUUUCAGACCAAGUAUUAUGACGAUGUGAAAAAAACUUUGGCGAUUCUACAAAAAAAAUUUCACAUAGUUACAUGCUAACGAAGAUACGUUUCACGAAAUUCGUGAUUAUCUGACAUUAAAUUAUUCGAAAUAUGAAAAUGUACUGCCAUAUACAAUACACUUUUGCUGUACAAAGUUGUGCCCUGCCAAAGAACCCAAAGAGUUAUUUAGAAGUUGUAAAAGUAAGAACAUAUUUACUGUAAACGAAGAAAUGAGACUUCAAAAUUUACAGAUUCUUCGCAAACUUCAAAAUUGGCACAACACCUUUAAUACAUGGGUAUCCAGCAUAUCCAGUAAUAACGUUCCUGGAUUAAUAGUAGUAAGAAGUAUGUUGAUGGAGCAAGACAAUAUUUCAAAGUAUUCAAUAUUUUGAAGAUACAUCUUUCAUUAUUGGAUUGUGAUUUUUAUAGACAUUUCCCAAAUUUCUUGGGAUAAAUCUAUGUUUGGAACGUAUAAGAUUAUCGACAGAAAUCGUCAAGAGAAUUCCAUGUAAGUUGACAUAUGAAAACUGGAAUUUUAUUCUGACUUCUUUAGUCCUACGGCCGAAUUUCAUUAGGAAGUCAAAACAAAAUGUUACUGAUUUCGAGGCAUUUACACUGCUGGUAGCCAUGUGUCAACUAUAUCGCGCGGUCCAAGAUUUAAUUAACAAACAUGACCAGGAAAAAGUAAUAAUAAUAUCACAAAAAUGAAAAAAUGGAAAAAUAUUUUUAUCGGAUAUUCAGUGGAAUUACUGAAUUUUGGAUGCUUUGUGCAGAUGUGUACAGUGAAAAAACAACAGCUUUGGAAGUUGUUAUAUUAUUGGAUCACUUAGGAAAGGCUGAAAAUGGUUAAUGGCAAUAUAAUUUUCAAAAAUCAUACAUUUCUUACAAGGACUGUUGGAUUAGCAUUGAAAUUCCUCCAAUCUCCUGUAUCUAGUGUACAAUUAGGUGCGUAUCAUAUAGUAAAACAUGCAAUACUAUUUUGUCUUGUGGAACAAGACAAAACUACAAUCGAAUUAAAGAAUUU